Molecule: ribosomal RNA, 472 nt
Filed under: Clostridium botulinum
Lineage: Bacteria; Bacillati; Bacillota; Clostridia; Eubacteriales; Clostridiaceae
Description: bacterial LSU rRNA
Rfam family: Bacterial large subunit ribosomal RNA
Source: RNAcentral
CUUGUGCACUGUCUCAACUGCAAAUCCGGCGAAGUUGUAGUGCGAGUGAAGAUGCUCGCUACCCGCGAUUGGACGGAAAGACCCCGUAGAGCUUUACUGUAGCUUAGCAUUGAAUUUCGGUAUUGUCUGUACAGGAUAGGUGGGAGACUGGGAAAUCAGAGCGUCAGCUUUGAUGGAGUCAUCCUUGGGAUACCACCCUGAUAGUACUGGAAUUCUAACUGGAUGCCAUGAAUCUGGUGACAGGACAUUGUUAGGUGGGCAGUUUGACUGGGGCGGUCGCCUCCUAAAAAGUAACGGAGGCGCCCAAAGGUUCCCUCAGAACGGUCGGAAAUCGUUCGUAGAGUGCAAAGGCAUAAGGGAGCCUGACUGCGAGACCUACAAGUCGAGCAGGGACGAAAGUCGGGCUUAGUGAUCCGGUGGUACCUCGUGGGAGGGCCAUCGCUCAACGGAUAAAAGCUACCUCGGGGAUAAC